GCGGUUCGCCCCUCUGAAAUUCGGGCCGUUCCGGCAACUGACUAGCGCCGCCUUUGGCCGUUCCGAAGACUGACUCACGAGUCACGACACACACAGGGGCCACACCGAGACGCCGGCGAUUCCUCCCGUCGACGCUCACCUCCGUUCUACCAACGCGUCACCUGUUCCCGGCGAUUUCCCGACGCCCACCGCCGCUUGAUUUCCCCAAAACUGGAGGUAUAUUUACUCUUUAGUCGUUACACCAUUUCGUGUGGUUUGCUUCCUUUUUUAAUUAAGUCGUGUGAUUUCCCCAAAAUUGGAGGUAUAUAUACUCGCCUUCUUCUACAUUAGCUGGUUGAAAUGAAUCAAUGAUUUAUGCUUAGAUAUAUGAUAGCAAGUAGUAAAGUGUUGAUUUCGAAUGUAAAG
RNAcentral lists this long non-coding RNA (405 nucleotides) under Salvia miltiorrhiza (redroot sage). RNAcentral describes it as "long non-coding RNA (SMIL_LNC013818)". Lineage: Eukaryota; Viridiplantae; Streptophyta; Magnoliopsida; Lamiales; Lamiaceae. The record is from RNAcentral.